Molecule: ribosomal RNA, 397 nt
Filed under: uncultured bacterium
Lineage: Bacteria
Description: bacterial SSU rRNA
Rfam family: Bacterial small subunit ribosomal RNA
Source: RNAcentral
UAAUACGUAGGGUGCAAGCGUUGUCCGGAAUUACUGGGCGUAAAGAGUUCGUAGGCGGUUUGUCGCGUCGUUUGUGAAAACCAGCAGCUCAACUGCUGGCUUGCAGGCGAUACGGGCAGACUUGAGUACUGCAGGGGAGACUGGAAUUCCUGGUGUAGCGGUGAAAUGCGCAGAUAUCAGGAGGAACACCGGUGGCGAAGGCGGGUCUCUGGGCAGUAACUGACGCUGAGGAACGAAAGCGUGGGUAGCGAACAGGAUUAGAUACCCUGGUAGUCCACGCCGUAAACGGUGGGCGCUAGGUGUGGGUUCCUUCCACGGAAUCCGUGCCGUAGCUAACGCAUUAAGCGCCCCGCCUGGGGAGUACGGCCGCAAGGCUAAAACUUAAAUGAAUUGACGG